RNAcentral lists this ribosomal RNA (253 nucleotides) under uncultured bacterium. RNAcentral describes it as "partial 16S ribosomal RNA". It matches the Rfam family "Bacterial small subunit ribosomal RNA", at positions 524 to 776 of the family's 1533-position model. The record is from RNAcentral.
UACGUAGGUGGCGAGCGUUGUCCGGAUUUACUGGGCGUAAAGGGAGCGUAGGCGGACUUUCAAGUGAGAUGUGAAAUACUCGGGCUCAACUUGAGUGCUGCAUUUCAAACUGGAAGUCUAGAGUGCAGGAGAGGAGAAUGGAAUUCCUAGUGUAGCGGUGAGAUGCGUAGAGAUUAGGAAGAACACCAGUGGCGAAGGCGAUUCUCUGGACUGUAACUGACGCUGAGGCUCGAAAGCGUGGGGAGCAAACAGG